Molecule: ribosomal RNA, 277 nt
Filed under: uncultured bacterium
Lineage: Bacteria
Description: partial 16S ribosomal RNA
Rfam family: Bacterial small subunit ribosomal RNA
Source: RNAcentral
AAUCAACGCUGGCGGCGUGCCUAACACAUGCAAGUCGAACGAGAAAGUGGAGCAAUCCAUGAGUAAAGUGGCGACCGGGUGAGUAACACGUGACUAACCUACCUUCUAGUGGGGGAUAACCUCGGGAAACCGAGGCUAAUACCGCAUAACAUCGCAAGAUCAAAGCAGCAAUGCGCUGGAAGAGGGGGUCGCGGCUGAUUAGCUAGUUGGCGGGGUAACGGCCCACCAAGGCGAAGAUCGGUAGCCGGCCUGAGAGGGCGCACGGCCACACUGGAAC